UGAUCCUGGCUCAGGAUGAACGCUGGCGGCGUGCUUAACACAUGCAAGUCGAACGGAACGCCAAGGAAAGAGUUUUCGGACAAUGGAAUUGGUUGUUUAGUGGCGGACGGGUGAGUAACGCGUGAGUAACCUGCCUUGGAGUGGGGAAUAACACAGUGAAAACUGUGCUAAUACCGCAUGACAUAUUGGUGUCGCAUGGCACUGAUAUCAAAGAUUUAUCGCUCUGAGAUGG
RNAcentral lists this ribosomal RNA (232 nucleotides) under uncultured bacterium. RNAcentral describes it as "partial 16S ribosomal RNA". It matches the Rfam family "Bacterial small subunit ribosomal RNA", at positions 14 to 228 of the family's 1533-position model. The record is from RNAcentral.